CUGCACAGUGACUUCAGCAGAUAUCCUUUGUUGAAGAAAUAUCAAUGCACAUGAGGGAGUCGAUCACACGGUGCAGCCAUCAAUCAGCAGCUACUGAGCCUAUCUAGUAGGUAACCCUUCAAUGAAAGUAUGAAGAAAAUGCUCCACACGCUGGCUGUAUUCUCACUUGGUGAAGAAUGGGG
Long non-coding RNA from Bombina bombina (fire-bellied toad), 182 nucleotides. RefSeq lists it as uncharacterized. The record is from RefSeq and is a predicted model, not a curated record. The transcript has 3 exons. Lineage: Eukaryota; Metazoa; Chordata; Amphibia; Anura; Bombinatoridae.